GUAGGUGGCAAGCGUUGUCCGGAAUUAUUGGGGCGUAAAGCGCGCGCAGGCGGUCCUUUAAGGUCUGAUGUGAAAGCCCACGGGCUCAACCGUGGAGGGUCAUUGGAAACUGGGGGACUUGAGUGCAGAAGAGGAAAGCGGAAUUCCAAGUGUAGCGGUGAAAUGCGUAGAGAUUUGGAGGAACACCAGUGGCGAAGGCGGCUUUCUGGUCUGUAACUGACGCUGAGGCGCGAAAGCGUGGGGAGCAAACAGGAUUAGAUACCCUGGUAGUCCACGCCGUAAACGAUGAGUGCUAAGUGUUAGGGGGUUUCCGCCCCUUAGUGCUGCAGCUAACGCAUUAAGCACUCCGCCUGGGGAGUACGGCCGCAAAGGCUGA
Molecule: ribosomal RNA, 376 nt
Filed under: uncultured organism
Description: partial 16S ribosomal RNA
Rfam family: Bacterial small subunit ribosomal RNA
Source: RNAcentral